UGUGAGGUGUGAAUGAUUACUAUCCUCAUUCUGCAAAUGAGACAGAAGCUCAGAGAGAUGAAAAGACUGGCCUGGGCCAAGAUGGCAUGACCGGGAAUGGCAGAGUCAGUCCAGUCUCCACCUGUGCUGCUCACUCCACGAACAAGGAUGGUGGCAGGAGUUGUGGUGCAGUGGCUCACACCUAUAAUCCCAGCACUUUGAGAGG
This 205-nucleotide long non-coding RNA is filed under the name Homo sapiens (human). Its description in RNAcentral is "HSALNT0292861". Lineage: Eukaryota; Metazoa; Chordata; Mammalia; Primates; Hominidae. The record is from RNAcentral.